Molecule: ribosomal RNA, 497 nt
Filed under: uncultured bacterium
Lineage: Bacteria
Description: partial 16S ribosomal RNA
Rfam family: Bacterial small subunit ribosomal RNA
Source: RNAcentral
GAUGAACGCUGGCGGCGUGCCUAAUACAUGCGAGUCGAGCGAACAGAUGAGGAGCUUGCUCCUCUGACGUUAGCGGCGGACGGGUGAGUAACACGUGGAUAACCUACCUAUAAGACUGGGAUAACUUCGGGAAACCGGAGCUAAUACCGGAUAAUAUAUUGAACCGCAUGGUUCAAUAGUGAAAGACGGUUUUGCUGUCACUUAUAGAUGGAUCCGCGCCGCAUUAGCUAGUUGGUAAGGUAACGGCUUACCAAGGCAACGAUGCGUAGCCGACCUGAGAGGGUGAUCGGCCACACUGGAACUGAGACACGGUCCAGACUCCUACGGGAGGCAGCAGUAGGGAAUCUUCCGCAAUGGGCGAAAGCCUGACGGAGCAACGCCGCGUGAGUGAUGAAGGUCUUCGGAUCGUAAAACUCUAUUAUUAGGGAAGAACAAAUGUGUAAGUAACUAUGCACGUCUUGACGGUACCUAAUCAGAAAGCCACGGCUAACUACGUG